Erinaceus europaeus (western European hedgehog) is the source of this 7280-nucleotide long non-coding RNA. RefSeq lists it as uncharacterized. The transcript has 3 exons. NCBI's taxonomy places the organism in Eukaryota, Metazoa, Chordata, Mammalia, Eulipotyphla, Erinaceidae. The record is from RefSeq and is a predicted model, not a curated record.
UUUGAUGGGCAACGGCGACUGAACUCCGUACAAGUCUUGAAUUGAGAGGAGAACGGAACAAUAGGCAGGGCACUAAGACGCGCUCUGAGCCAUCCUCACUGUGUCACCUGGCACACACAGGGUGAGGAGCUGGAGCAGGUGCAGAAGAAAGGUUUCUUUGCUUCAAGACAGCACGGUUGCCGGUUGCUCCUAAUAUUAUUUUGUUGUUAUUUUUAAGAUUCUGUUUAUUUAUUCAUGAAGAAGAUACAGACAGAGACAGAGAGAACCACACAUCAUGCUGGUACAUGUGCUGCCGGCGAUUGAACUCAGGACCUCACGCUUGAGAGUCCAAUGCUUUGUCCCCUGCGCCACCUCCCGGGCCACCUAAGAUUAUUGUCAGUAGACUCCGCAUUGUGCACGGAAAACCUUGAAAUACGUUCGCGUAAUUUAAAAGAAGACUUGCUCCUAAUCUGUGGAAACUCCCAACAGAAGAAGGAAUUGUUUCUUGGCCCUUAUGAAGUCCUGAACAGGAGAUGCAGGGGGCAUGAAGGAAGGCUGUUACUUGUAUCCAGAGAACAGAACUUGGCCCAUUGACCCUAAGUGUCCUCCUCUAAAGGAUUUGCCUUUUGAACACCUAUGCUACGAAGUUUCUGUGCAAAAGGCAGUGUAUCAUGCCCUGAUGUAGCAACGACAGCAGCAGCAGCAGCAGCAGCAGCAGCAGCAGCAGGACAGUGUGUAAUGAAAAGACCAUAUCAAAGGACCAGGGAAAGGCCAGUCCCUGCCCACUGCCCCAGCUGGACUUUCUAGCACACGAAAUUCUGCGGUCUGUCCAAGUGUUGAAUAUCAGAUGGGUCACCAUGGGUGAACUGUUGGAAACCUCUGAGACCAUAAGUGCUUCAGCUUCUCCUGCACGUCUUCUCACAGGUUCCUUGUUGUUCGGCCCAGAUAGUGGCUUUAGCACCUGGUAUCUGGAUGGUACGUGUAGAUGGUGAGCUCAGCCUUUCUGCAGGACCUGAAACCACCAGGUACACCUCCGUGACUGACCAAGCCUCCAGACUUACCAGGUCUCCAAGGAGGGAAUGCCACCCUCCUCCCCUUACAGGAAAGCAGGCAAGCAGGCUCUCUUCACUGCUAUCUGCAUAUUUGUUGAAAACAACAGUUGAAUCUUAACUCACUCCUUAUGUCACAAGGUGGUGUCCCAGCCAGUAUUUGAACGUACCCAGUGUGAUUGCAGAGUUCCUACUUUGGACUAUAUGCCAGUGUAGCAUUUUUGGGUUGUUCCUCAGUGUACUUUAGCUCAGUGCCCUAUAAUGAGUACAUGUGCUGCCUGGGGUGUAUUUUGUAGUUUAAUUCAUAUAUUGAUCAGGGUCCUAACUGUGUUAGUCUCAGAAGAUUUAGGACAAGGACUUUCAGUUAUCACUGUAUCCUUGUCCCACAGUUUUCUCUCCCUCUCUCUGCCCACCCCCCCCCCCCGCACACCUCAAGAGUUAUCACUAAGGCUUUGCCUGCAUAGCUCAUCUGUUCCAAGUAGACCCUUUCUUUAAUAAAGGCUGACUAACAGAGUGGGAGCGAGAUAGAGAAGGAGAGAGAAGCACACACACUACAGCUCUGCUCAACUAGCUGUGAAGCUGCCUCCCAGAAGGCAUUCCCAUGUGGUAACUGGGGAUUCACCCAGGCCUUUGAGUGGCAAAGCAUGCGCUCUUACCAGGUGAGCUCGCUCCCCCCCCCACACACACAUUUCUUUUUAUUUAGUCUUGAAGGCCUGCUUUUCUCUUUGUUCUAGUUUUAUGGAUCUGAAUAUGUAAAGAGUAUGUUAGAUAAAGAGUAUAUGGUCCUGGAAAAAUAAUUCCUCAAUGGGUUACUCCAUAUGGAUUUGAAAUUGGUUCCCACAACCCUCCUUAUUAUACUUAGUAAGGCAUUUAUGGCCAGAAAACAAAUAGAUCAUUUAUUUCAAGUUAAUCAUGGGCCAAUAUGUCCUAUUCUGUUUGGUUGUUCUGAUCACACUAGCUAGGUCCAGUCUUACUAUAAUUUACUGGCACUUAAAUAUGACUUAGAGAUUCAUAUUUUAAAGAGACAGGGCAUACUCUUGGAAAUCCAGGACAGGAUAAACAUCAUAUUGGCCAGGAGAUGGAAGCUUCAGUAUAACAACAACAACAAAAAAAUCCUGGCCUUCACAUAGCUAUACUUAGCUUGAAUCUCAUUUCUUUGACUCACUUCACUGGAGUGUUUUCUUUUUAAUGGGAAGGAAAUUAGUUCUUAAAAUGAUAAAUGGACUCACUUGAGUAGUGCACUGCUUUGCCAUGUGCAUGACAUGGGUUUGAUCCCCGACCUCCCCACACUGAAAGAAGCUUCUGGGCUGUGGUCCCCCUCUCUCUCCCUCUCCUUCCUCCUCUUUCUUUUCCAUUCUCCCUCUGUCUAAAAAAGUCAUCCCAGAGAGGGUGAAGCCCCAGAUAUACCCCUCCAAAAAGAUAAAUGGAAUCUACCAAAACAAAAACAAAUGCUUUAAGGGGAUAUGUCAAACACAUGCUUCAUUCCAUAUAAGAAACACAUAGAUAAGGGGGAGGGUUCUGACUAAACCAAGUUUUAUUGGUAUGAAAUGGGAUAUGAAGGAAAGAGACUAGAGGGCUGAUAAGCUGUGGCAUAAAGUGGUGCUGGGAACCAAACCUGGGGAGUCUAUGGCCUUAGACACAUUUAAGUCCAAAUAGAAUUUGUGCUGAAGAGAAGCCAUGGUGAUCAGACAUCACCAAGGGGACAGGGUGAAGGUUGUAGGAGGAUGAGAAUGGAGAUGAAAAAUGUUGAUACUAAGAUAAAUGCAGAGAAAUAUUUGAUAGAUUUAACAAGUAGAAAUGACUUUGAGAAACUUUGAAACUAGGAAUACAGUAUUUCUUAAACAGAAACAAGCAUGGAGAUCACAUAUAUUCUUGGAAAACAAUGGUGCUUUAAGGUAAAUAGAUAGGAGAAAGAAGCUCCUAUAAACAGCUGCUGCAAGCGGACUGGCAUACUGCCAGUUCUGAAACCAGACAAACAGGUCCUGAGCUUGGUUCAGACAAGCUAGACCUGUCAUGGUUGAUGGUACAUGUAUUUAUCUUCUACUUUCUCAAUGGAAAGUCUUAGGCCCAUGUGUCCACCACAUUCAAGAGAGAAAGAGAAACAGUCUUCACUUCAUUGAACUGAGUCUCUUCCUGUGGCUUUUAAUUUUUAUGGUUAUAGUGUUUGCGAAAGAAGACUUUGUCCUUACCUAUUGAGACUCCAACAGAAGGAGGAAUUGAUGGGUAGUUUCAAGAGUUGAAAUUGUCCCCAAAGCAAGGCUAUCACUUGAUGCCAAAUAAAGUUGCUCUAGCCAGCAGCCUCCAACGGCAUUGUAGCCUACUCCAAAGUGAAAGAGACUAGGAGAUUUGACUGAAAUUAGAGGAUGUUCUUUGAAAACCUAUGGUGCUGUCCUCCCAGAAUAUUGAACAGAAGCAGAUCUGGAUGCCUUCCUUUACUCUGUGGCAAGUUUCCUUAUUCUGUCUCCCUUUGAUUGAGCGGGACCUGGAGCUAGUGCAGGAAGGCCUGCCUACCUUGUUGCCCUGGGGAGAGCUGUCAGGUUCUUCUCAAUCUUGGCUCCUGAUGCAGAAUGAGCAGUGGUUCUUCAUGCAGUCAUACUUACAGUGAUCUCAGGCCAAUACCACUGGUGAUGCUUUCUUUCCACUGGCAGCAGCAGCCAUGUGAAAUGGGAAGUGUUUAUCCAUGGAAACAAGGUGAAUGGCUGAUGACUACAUGAGAAUGUAGUGCUGUAUCCAUAGUAUUGUCUGAUAGGCUGAUGUAAGGAGCUAGCUACUAGAGUUUUGCUUAAAGACAUUUCACUCCCUUGUCGGGAGAUCUGAACUUAAUUGCUUUGGAAGACGGAAUCUGACACAUGUGACAUAAGAAUGUACAUUGUAUACAUGUAUGUUUGCUGUGAUGUCACACCUGAAUUGCCUUGACUGUGGUGGCAUGCCUGCCUUCUAAUUUUGCAUGAUGUGUCGUCCUGGCCAUACGUGUUCUCUAACAGACCCAAAAUUUGAGCCUCUAUGAGACUCAGUUGUUUUGGUGGAGCAGAUAGCAUGCUUCUGACCCACUGCAAUAACUCCAGCAGCAGGAGGACCAGCAUGUAGUGAAGAGACUAUUUUAAGCCAAGGGCAAGGCCAACCUUGUCCUCUUCCUUAACUGGACUGUCUAGCCCAUGGGACUUCCAAUGCCUGUCCAAUGUUGGCUACCAGCUGGGCCUCCCUGAUGGGACUAUUGAGGGUCAUAGAGUCCCCAUAUAUCAGACCUCUCAGCCUGGGUGCCUGGUCAUAGAUUCCUUGUUGCCUGGCCCAGAUGGUGGCCUCAGCACCUAUUGGAGACCGGCUGACUCUUUCUCUGAGAAUUCAGGAAGUCCUAGGUCACUUGCUACUAAAGUUGAGCUUGACAGAUCUUACGAAGCUCCUCUGAACAAUUUAAAACCAAGCAUACCUUAUCCAUGACGCCAGAAGCUCCUCUGAACAAUUUAGAACCAAGCAUACCUUAUCCUACCUUAUCCAUGACGCCAGCCUUUUCGGGAUUCCUAGGAGAGUGUGCUAACUGCAGUUACUAACCUUAUAUUAUGAGGACAUGGCAGCACAGUGCCAGACCUCAUGACGACAUUGAAAAGGAGAACUCACUCCUACAGUAAGAUGCUAAAAUCCUAAACAGAAUCAAACCUCAGUGUGUGUGUGUGUGUGUAAGUAGAGACAUAAGUAUAACCCCACUAAAUUAAAUUUAAUACUGGGAUGCAAUGAUUAUUAACUUUAGAAAAUCAGCUAAUGCUGUACAUUAAGGGAAUAACAGAGGAAAGUGGAUACUCUAAGUAGACACAAAUACUUGAUAAAUUUAACAGUGGCAUUUAGAAAAUAUAAAAUUAGAAACUAUUUACUUUUAAAUCAAUAACAAGUAUAAGCUGAGAAAACGAGGGUCCAUUUAUGUUAAUUGGGGGAGGAGGGGAGGAAGAGCCUUUACACAACAUUCUGCCAGUUCUAAAACCGGGUAAACUGCUAGGAAACUUGGUUCAGCCAAGUAAGACAAGCCCCUGUUUUAGCUAGAAUUCUCAUAUCACUGUAAGCGGUGAAUGGGCUCCUGUUCCCUGCACACCCAUUGUUAAGGUGCUUCCUCCUCUUAGCUGGUGGGGACCCUCAUGUUGGACUCGCUGGGUAGAGUUGUUAGGCUGCUUGCCACCUCUGGCUCCCACUGUAGGUUGAAUGGUGCAGGAGACUUAAUGGAACUAGGCACCUGCAGGUACAGUGGGGACGAGCACUGAAUUCAUCUGGACUGCAUCAUGUCUAUGGCACUGAGUUCUAUGUGGUGGAUGGAGAGGCACCAGCAAUGGUUGACCAUCCCUCUAGCAGCAGUGAGGGUGGCACUAUGUGACUCACAUUUUUCUUUUCCUGCAAGACUUCCUGGUGGCACUUGGUGGUGUGCCAGUGUGCUUGAUGGCAUCCCUGAAGGUUUUUUUUUUGUUUGUUUGUUUUUUGCGUUGAAUAUCCCUUGAGGACACCAGCAAACUUGGACUUCUAGGAGAGUGAUCUUCACCCAGCUCUUUAGUGAUGUCUCCAGUGACUGGAUGCUGCUUGACUGUGUCAGAGGACCCUGCAGGAUCUGAAUCAUCUGUCGAGAGAGGUGUAACAUCUUCAGUGAAGAUGUCCCUGUGAGAAUUGGUCAGUGUUUUCUGGAAUUCUCACUUUCUUCUUGGGAUUCCAGCUGAGGGUCCUGUGGCCCAGAACUGCUUCUAUAGGAAGCAAAUUAUUUGUCUCAGGGAUGCAAAAGCAAACCCCACAGGGGCUCCUGUCCCCACCUCCCUAUCCAGCAGUCUCUGUAGGUAGCUCCUUCUCCUUGGCCACUGUGGAUUCUUCUUGAAUGUUCACCUCCCCUUCUUAAGAGGAAGAUAGUGGUGAUUGGUCCAUGAUCUUGAAGACAGGCUGAGGAAGGAAACGCUGGGUAGGUAAUCUCUUCCCUAGAGGAACCUCGGCCGUGUCUACACAUCAUGGAAUCAUGAGCUGAGAAGAGAGCUUUCUUCAGAGGGUCCCAAACAACUGAAUGAAACUCCUCAUGGUAGCACCUGACCCACCAAGUUAGGUGAUGUUUCUUGAGCCUGACGUGGAAGCUGGCUGAGGGCAGGCACUGGUGCAGCCGUGUGGUUCAGUUUGGGAAGCCAACUUACUCGUGGUCAAAACACACUUCUCAACUCAUUUUGUUAGUGUCCAUUUUUAUGCAUCUGAGACUAGACUGGAAAGCAGAGACGUGCUCAGUCUUUCAGAUCUUUCUGAAGAAGAAUAUAUUUCCUAGCAGUAAUUCACAUUUGAUGUUGAGAAAGGCCAUAUAAGUUUUCAAGGAAAGUGAAACAUUUGCCUCACUAAAAUAUAUCUAAAGGGUCCGGGAGAUAGUUCACCCAGUAGAGCACAUGCUUUACCAUGCAAGAAACCCUGGCUUCCAACUCCUGUACCAAUGGAAGCAUCUGAACGGCACCAGCAGAGCUGCAUGGAGUGGCAGUGCUGUAUUUCUCCUUGUCCUCCUCCUCCUCUCUCUAAAUUGAAGAGUGAAAAUAACUGGCCCCAGGGCACUGCUCAGUAAUGUGGUAUUACGCAUGUGUGAGGUCUUGGUCUCACAGAUGAUAUUAUUAAUACUGAUAAUUAUAAUGCUAAUUAAAUACUAUUAAACUCAUAGUCAUGGACAUUCUUUCUGAAUAGGUAAUGUAUAUAUGCUAUUCAAUUUCAUUGUUCACUUUUAUUUUUUUUUAAUAUUUACCAUUAAGAGGGGAGAGAGAGAGGGAGAGGGAAUCAACCAGAGUUCCAUCGGCUCUGGCAUCUUGAAUUUGGAACUUCUGGAGCCUUAAGUGUGCAAGUCCUUUGAAGCUAUAUUUGAAGACAUAUUUCCCUGACCCUUCUUACUUUAUCACUUUUAAAAGCUCUUUUAUUUUUCUCAAAAUCUAAUGUACUAUGUAAUAGACUCUGGAACUCCCUGAACAGAGUCAUUGUGGAGGAAGUAGUACUACGUAGACAUUAGCACAAGUCAAUAUAGUUUUUUGAGUAAUUUUGAAUGUCAUUUUUGAGCCAUUUGAAUAUAUUAAAACCUCAAAUGCACUAAGUUUUUACGCAUAAACUUUGGUUUUUCCACUGGAGGGUGCAAUUUGUCAGUGUAUCAACAUAUUCACGAUUUCUCUAAUGGGUAUACUUUCAGUAUGUCUUAUUCUUACAGUGAUUUCUAUAUUAAUGUAGAAUGUUAGUUGCUUUCAAAAGCCUUAAAUAAAUGAAAUUAUACCAGUCUGA